GUGCCAGCCGCCGCGGUAAUACGGAGGGUGCAAGCGUUGUUCGGAAUUAUUGGGCGUAAAGGGCGCGUAGGUGGUUGUGAUAGUCAGAUGUGAAAUCCUUCGGCUCAACCGAAGAACUGCAUCUGAAACUUCAUAGCUCGAGUACAGGAGAGGGAAACGGAAUUCCCGGUGUAGAGGUGAAAUUCGUAGAUAUCGGGAGGAACACCAGUGGCGAAGGCGGUUUCCUGGCCUGAUACUGACGCUGAGGCGCGAAAGCGUGGGGAGCAAACAGGAUUAGAUACCCUGGUAGUCCACGCGGUAAACGGUGAACACUAGGUGUGGGAGGUGUAAUACCUUCUGUGCCGAAGCUAACGCGUUAAGUGUUCCGCCUGGGAAGUACGGCCGCAAGGUUGAAACUCAAAUAAAUUGACGG
RNAcentral lists this ribosomal RNA (412 nucleotides) under uncultured bacterium. RNAcentral's name for it is "bacterial SSU rRNA". It matches the Rfam family "Bacterial small subunit ribosomal RNA", at positions 505 to 916 of the family's 1533-position model. The record is from RNAcentral.